Long non-coding RNA from Daphnia carinata, 1245 nucleotides. RefSeq lists it as uncharacterized. Lineage: Eukaryota; Metazoa; Arthropoda; Branchiopoda; Diplostraca; Daphniidae. The transcript has 5 exons. The record is from RefSeq and is a predicted model, not a curated record.
UGCGCUAGAUGGUGCUGGCAACAGCUUUGCGCUAGAUGGUGCUGGCAACAGCUUUGCGCUAGAUGGUGCUGGCAACAGCCUUACACUACGCGUUGGUUAACCGCUUAAGUGUAUCUGUGGGUAGUUUACAUUUUCUUUUUCUGACGGUGCACGCUGAAGGUCUUCUCAUAUUAGGUAUCCGUUUGUGGUUCAACAGAAGUUUAAUGGAAAAGCUUUGAAGUGAAUCAUAGGCUAUUAAGUAAAAGAAAUUGCGUAAUGAGUGGCGGAUGUGGCGUUCGCUUUCCACAAAGUUUGAUGAAAGGUCUUGCUGUGAGUACCCACCCAAUUAUCGUUUUUACGAUGAGUCUAAGCGGUGCUAUCUUGUCUCCAUGGGGUGGGAGACUGGUAUGACGAAUUCAGGCCAGUGCCCAUUGAAUAACUGGCAUGGCGUGUGUCAAUGCGGCGAUCAUAGUCUGCUCUUAUUCAAGGAAGACGACAGGUGCCACCGUAUCUAUGCCAUUUUUUUUCUUAUCUAGGUCUUUCAAUGGCAAGCGGUAUGCCGUUGAUGUUCGUCAUAUAAAAACACUUGGAUGGGAAGCCGCGUAAACAAUACAUUCAGGAAGCUGUGACAUGUGAUGAAAAGGAACUGCUUAAGUGGAUCGUCUGUGGGGAAUGCUUUAACAAUUUUGAUAAAGUUGUCCUCCAGAGAACUACAUAGCUAUCAAAAUCUCAAACAAUGUAUGUAAGGACAGUUAUGGCAUAAUGGUAGCAUGCUGUACUACAAUGUGAAAGGUCUGUGGUUCGAAUCCCAUAAUGGUUAAUAUUGCUUGGCGCGGUCGUCCCAGAAAAUAUCUGGAACGCUGGCGUGGUCGUCCCAGAAAAAAUCUGGGAUGCCCCCGAUCGUCGAGAAGGAAGAAUUUUUCCUUUUUUGCCAUUUUUCGUUAUUUCGACAAAUAAACAUGUGCUGUGAAGAAAAAUACGCGCCUGGCGAAUCCGAGUAUUGAACCCUAGUCCUUUCUCGAGGAAUCCAUCAAUCUUAUAUUCCAAAUUUUUCUUGUUGCAUGCAGCCAAAACCAAUUUAGGCUAUUGUUUACAUAAAGUUGUUUACAUCAAUUUAAAGAAGUAAACAUUACAUUUCCACCUUCUGAGCCACAUUUCCAAUGUUUUGUAGUUCUGAUCCUUCUGUAAGAAAAAACUUGUUUCUCUGCUAAUAUGCUAGAAUUCUACUAUACCAAUUCCCGAACAGGCUGACAGGUUGUGGUUAGA